AAAUUGAAGAGUUUGAUCAUGGCUCAGAUUGAACGCUGGCGGCAGGCCUAACACAUGCAAGUCGAACGGUAGCACAGAGAGCUUGCUCUCGGGUGACGAGUGGCGGACGGGUGAGUAAUGUCUGGGAAACUGCCUGAUGGAGGGGGAUAACUACUGGAAACGGUGGCUAAUACCGCAUAACGUCGCAAGACCAAAGAGGGGGACCUUCGGGCCUCUUGCCAUCAGAUGUGCCCAGAUGGGAUUAGCUUGUUGGUGAGGUAACGGCUCACCAAGGCGACGAUCCCUAGCUGGUCUGAGAGGAUGACCAGCCACACUGGAACUGAGACACGGUCCAGACUCCUACGGGAGGCAGCAGUGGGGAAUAUUGCACAAUGGGCGCAAGCCUGAUGCAGCCAUGCCGCGUGUAUGAAGAAGGCCUUCGGGUUGUAAAGUACUUUCAGCGGGGAGGAAGGUGUUGUGGUUAAUAACCGCAGCAAUUGACGUUACCCGCAGAAGAAGCACCGGCUAACUCCGUGCCAGCAGCCGCGGUAAUACGGAGGGUGCAAGCGUUAAUCGGAAUUACUGGGCGUAAAGCGCACGCAGGCGGUCUGUCAAGUCGGAUGUGAAAUCCCCGGGCUCAACCUGGGAACU
This 630-nucleotide ribosomal RNA is filed under the name Salmonella enterica. RNAcentral describes it as "bacterial SSU rRNA". It matches the Rfam family "Bacterial small subunit ribosomal RNA", at positions 1 to 622 of the family's 1533-position model. Lineage: Bacteria; Pseudomonadati; Pseudomonadota; Gammaproteobacteria; Enterobacterales; Enterobacteriaceae. The record is from RNAcentral.